Molecule: ribosomal RNA, 124 nt
Filed under: uncultured bacterium
Lineage: Bacteria
Description: partial 16S ribosomal RNA
Rfam family: Bacterial small subunit ribosomal RNA
Source: RNAcentral
GCAGUGAGGAAUAUUGGUCAAUGGGCGCAAGCCUGAACCAGCCAUGCCGCGUGAAGGAUGAAGGCCUUAUGGGUUGUAAACUUCUUUUUACGGGAAUAAACUUAGCUAUGUAUAGCUAACUGCA